CUUUUCUGUUUUUAUUUAUUUAUAAACACUUAGGCAUUUUAUAAAAUUGUGAAUCUUACACCAUAAUUAUCUUUGUAAUAUUUGGCAACCACCGAACAUUUUUGUUUUAAUUUUUGAAAACUUUUAUUGUUUUCUUUUAUUUAAAUUUUGAACUUGUUUCGGUUCUGAACUAUCGAGAGUUUAUCACAGUAACCGUGGUGACGUGGCAUCAUUAGCGGGGAAUCACUGUAGCUUAAUUAUCCGGGCGUCACAAUUCUCCUCCACUACAAGAAAUCUCGUCCCGAGAUUUAGGAUCGGUUAUAAGGGGGAAGGGGUCUGGUUACGAAAUUCUAACGAUUCUUCUCGAUCAUAGUAGCUCUUCUCGAAGAGGUCGACCCAUUACAUUGAUGUCUUCAGUCCUCUCCUCCAGGUCAUCAUGAUGAAGUUUGUCGUCCUUUCUUCGGGGUUCCAUCGUACUUACGAAAGGAUAAAGGGUGGGUAUUCCGAGAGAAUGGACCUCUGCAGGUUUGACUAUCUGGUCGAUAACAUCGGGGAGGGUGGCGGAAGUAACUCUCGAAUUGAAACUUAAGAAAAUAUCAAGAGCAGAGUAAGGAGGUAUCCUGGGAAGUUUCGAGCGGGCAGGCAAUCGUUCGAUGUCUGAUAUGUGGCGUGAAAGGGGUUCGAAGCCACGAGAAUAAGUAUUUGUCUGAUACCAGAUUGAAGGUGGCUCAUGAAUUACAUACGAGGCCACGCGCGAGGAACAACCUUGGGUACAGGGGGGUACAGGAGAGUCAGGUUUCGAUCCUGUGGAACUGUGGGUUAUGGGCCCACCAUGUGGAUUAAAAGUAGGAAGGNNNNNNNNNNUGUUUUCUUUUUAUUUAUUUUCUUUUCUGUUUUUAUUUAUUUAUAAACACUUAGGCAUUUUAUAAAAUUGUGAACCUUACACCAUAAUUAUCUUUGUAAUAUUUGGCAACCACCGAACAUUUUUGUUUUAAUUUUUGAAAACUUUUAUUGUUUUCUUUUAUUUAAAUUUUGAAUUUGUUUCGGUUCUGAACUAUCGAGAGUUUAUCACAGUAACCGUGGUGACGUGGCAUCAUUAGCGGGGAAUCACUGUAGCUUAAUUAUCCGGGCGUCACAAUUCUCCUCCACUACAAG
RNAcentral lists this long non-coding RNA (1134 nucleotides) under Triticum aestivum (bread wheat). RNAcentral's name for it is "long non-coding RNA (TAES_LNC023175)". The record is from RNAcentral. Lineage: Eukaryota; Viridiplantae; Streptophyta; Magnoliopsida; Poales; Poaceae.